This 104-nucleotide non-coding RNA is filed under the name Metabacillus indicus. RNAcentral's name for it is "Bacillus cibi Guanine sequence". It matches the Rfam family "Purine riboswitch aptamer". From Rfam's summary of the family: Riboswitches are metabolite binding domains within certain messenger RNAs that serve as precision sensors for their corresponding targets. Allosteric rearrangement of mRNA structure is mediated by ligand binding, and this results in modulation of gene expression. A class of riboswitches that selectively recognises guanine and becomes saturated at concentrations as low as 5 nM. Lineage: Bacteria; Bacillati; Bacillota; Bacilli; Caryophanales; Bacillaceae. The record is from Rfam by way of RNAcentral.
UUAUUCAAAAUUUUUUAUUCUUGUAUAAUUUCAGGUAAGAGGGUCUGAACGUUUCUACCUGGCAGCCGAUAAAAUGCCAGACUACAAGAAAGUGUGUACAGCAA